Molecule: non-coding RNA, 92 nt
Organism: Hypoxylon sp. CI-4A
Lineage: Eukaryota; Fungi; Ascomycota; Sordariomycetes; Xylariales; Hypoxylaceae
Source: the annotation of a GenBank genome assembly
ACCAUCAUCGUCCAGUGGUUAGGAUGCCAGGUUUUCAUAUAACUUGAUCAAUGAAUUCCCUGGAGACCGGGGUUCGAACCCCCGUGAUGGUA